Molecule: long non-coding RNA, 571 nt
Filed under: Gallus gallus (chicken)
Lineage: Eukaryota; Metazoa; Chordata; Aves; Galliformes; Phasianidae
Description: lncRNA (ENSGALG00010001052.1)
Source: RNAcentral
CCUCAUACACUACUCAAUGAAGCAAAGAAGCAAACAAGAACAAGAACAGAACUACUCAACUGGUUAUUUCCAUGAUUCCUAAAAAUUACUAAAAUGCUUUUUCAAAAGGUAGAAUGGAUGUUUAAUGCAAGGCUUGAAGAGAUACUGGGGUGCCUUUUUCUGAUUCUGCCUGACACACACACACACACACUCUAAAAAAAAAAAAAAAGAGAGUCUGCUGGAGUAUGGCACUGUGACUUGAACUGAAUGAGAAAUAAUUAGCUGUUAUGGUUAUGGAUGAAGAUAUUGAACAAGACCAGACCCAGUACCAACCCCUGCGGAGCACUGCUAGCUACAAACCUCCAAAUAGACUCUUCACCACUGAUCACAACACUCUGAGCUCUCAGUUAUCUCAGUCAUCCAGUUAUCAGUGCUCCUCACUGUCCACUCAUCUAUCCCACACUUCCACUUACCUACAAGGAUGUUACGGAAUACAGUAUCAGAAGCCUUGUUGAAGUUGCGUUACACAAUAUCCAUUACUCUCUACUCAUCCACCCGGUCAAUGAUCACAUCAUAGAAGGCUAUCAGGUUG